AUUGAACGCUGGCGGCAUGCCUUACACAUGCAAGUCGAACGGCAGCAUGGAAGAGCUUGCUCUUCUGAUGGCGAGUGGCGAACGGGUGAGUAAAGCAUCGGAACGUACCGUGUAGUGGGGGAUAACGUAGCGAAAGUUACGCUAAUACCGCAUACGCACUGAGGUGGAAAGCAGGGGAUCGCAAGACCUUGCGCUAUACGAGCGGCCGAUGUCAGAUUAGCUAGUUGGUAGGGUAAAGGCCUACCAAGGCGACGAUCUGUAGCGGGUCUGAGAGGAUGGUCCGCCACACUGGGACUGAGACCCGGCCCGGACUCCUACGGGAGGCAGCAGUGGGGAAUUUUGGACAAUGGGCGAAAGCCUGAUCCAGCCAUGCCGCGUGAGUGAAGAAGGCCUUCGGGUUGUAAAGCUCUUUCGGCUGGGAAGAAAUCGCACAGGCUAAUACUCUGUGUGGAUGACGGUACCAGCACAAGAAGCACCGGCUAACUACGUGCCAGCCGCCGCCGUAA
Molecule: ribosomal RNA, 506 nt
Filed under: uncultured bacterium
Lineage: Bacteria
Description: partial 16S ribosomal RNA
Rfam family: Bacterial small subunit ribosomal RNA
Source: RNAcentral